This is a long non-coding RNA of Hypanus sabinus (Atlantic stingray), 399 nucleotides long. RefSeq lists it as uncharacterized. The transcript is spliced from 3 exons. Lineage: Eukaryota; Metazoa; Chordata; Chondrichthyes; Myliobatiformes; Dasyatidae. The record is from RefSeq and is a predicted model, not a curated record.
CGUUUCCAGAGUCUCCGGUUACUCCGACCGACACCUCAAACCCGCCGAGAUCGAGACACCCACUGGCGAGCACCGAGCGGACUGGACACUGGAGACAGGAACAAACAUCGACAGGAAAUAAAAAAACAUCAGGGUUCCCCACAAUUCCAAUGAGCUGUAAACUUGUUCAGGAACCUGUCUGAGACUUUAAACACCACAUCCAAUGGAUGUGGGAAGGCAGGGAAUUCUCCAGUGUCCCUGAUGUCUUCAACUGCAAGAUGUCUUCCAGCUGCAGCUUCUGACAGUGUUAGGGAGCUGGAGGUGGAACUGGAUGAAAUCUGGAUCACUUGGGAAUCUGAGGGGCACUGUUUCCUCUAAGAUGCACAGCAGCACAGUGACUGAAAUGUUCCCAUGCACAUA